Molecule: ribosomal RNA, 439 nt
Filed under: uncultured bacterium
Lineage: Bacteria
Description: bacterial SSU rRNA
Rfam family: Bacterial small subunit ribosomal RNA
Source: RNAcentral
AACGCGAAGAACCUUACCAAGGUUUGACAUGGACCGAAAACUCAUGGAGACAUGGGGUCCUUCGGGGCGGUUCACAGGUGGUGCAUGGCUGUCGUCAGCUCGUGUCGUGAGAUGUUGGGUUAAGUCCCGCAACGAGCGCAACCCUCGUCCAAUGUUGCCAGCGGGUUAUGCCGGGGACUCAUUGGAGACUGCCGGGGUCAACUCGGAGGAAGGUGGGGAUGACGUCAAGUCCUCAUGCCCCUUAUGUCUUGGGCUGCAAACAUGCUACAAUGGCCAGUACAAAGGGUUGCGAGACCGCAAGGUGGAGCGAAUCCCAAAAAGCUGGUCUCAGUUCGGAUUGGGGUCUGCAACUCGACCCCAUGAAGUCGGAGUCGCUAGUAAUCGCAGAUCAGCAACGCUGCGGUGAAUACGUUCCCGGGCCUUGUACACACCGCUAGUC